UUCUGCCCGUACGUCGUCGUCACUUUUGCAAAAAAGCCCCUCUAUUUUCAAGAAUUCAACCCGCAGUCCCUUUUUAAGUUGCUAUCUCAGAAAACGUUUCGUUAUUACAAAAAGAACCCUGCCGUUUUGAGAAUUCAACCCGCGGUCCCACUGGAAAAAAAAAAACCUAGCCACACGAACGACCCAUGAACCCCAAUCUCAUCCACCUCCAGCGCCGCCACGCCCUGCAACGCCGCCGCGCGCCGCCGAACUCCGCCCCGUCGUCGCCCCGCCGGAAUCCGCCGGAACUCGACCCGCCGUCGCGCCGCCGCUCAAGCCCAGCUUCUGGAUCGGGUCAACGCGGUGGCUCGAGCGGCUGGGGGCGGAUCCGGCGAGGAGGAGGCCGGAGUCGAGGCGGGCCACGCCAUGGGAGGAGGCCGGAGCUCGAGGGGCACGGUAAUGGGUGCGGCGGGGCGGAUCCGGCGAGGAGAGACCGGAGUGGAGGUGGGGGCACGCCAUGGGAGGCUAGCAAAGCUUCGGGCAGCACCAUCCAUAGUGGUUGCUACCUGUGGGAGAAGAGGAGGGAGAUUUUGAGAAAGAGAGAGAGACAGGAGUAAAGAGAGAGGGAAGGGAGAGGAAGGAGAGAUGGCCGGAGGCGUGGUCAAUGGUGAAGGUCCGGCGGCGCGCGGAGCGCGCUGCCCGCCGGUGGACACCCAAUUGUGCGUGAACCCGCCGAGGACUGACCUCGCCACCUCCGUGCCUCCCCCAGGAUCUCCGUCACUGCCUCAUGCUGCUGUGCGCAAAGAUACUGCUGCCUCUCCCUGGUACAUCCAUCUCCACUUCCUCGGGGCGCUGCUCGCCGGCUCAUGACCUGCUAUGGAAUUGACGUUUGCGCACACAAGUUCCCCUGUCUGGCUCUGCCGGCUCCCGUAGUUGAGCAGAGCCAGGAGAUCGAGAGAGGAAAUACUCACUUGAUUUUGCAAAUUAUGUUGGGCAUGGAGAUUGAUCUGUUAUUUUUGGUUGUCCCUAGAUUCAAGGAUGACAGCGCCCAAACCUUUCCCUGAUGUUUGGGCAAAGGCGUGUAUGUCUGAUGUGCAGCAAAGCGACGAAACAAUGGUCGAUGGUUAUGUAUCUCGCGGGACUCGACGGUUACAGUUUCGGGAGCAGCACUGUUGCUUGCUAGCAUAUUUUUUUUCUUACAUAUAUGAACUGAUGAUGCUUUAUUUGGUGUUGUUUCCCAUGGCAGUACAUUAUGGCUUUGUUGACGAUGAUUUCUGCUAAUGUGCACACAGCUGAGGAAUAGACCCGGCAAGGAAGAGAGCUACACCAAUGUAGUCGGUGGAAUUAACAAGCAAAGUAAAUCCUGAAGCUCCUGGUUGUAACAAGAGGAAGUCGAUUUGUCAGUGGAAACAUAGCUGCAAGGAAGCGAUAUCUCAACUUUGACGUUACUUAAGCUUUUGGAUUUCAGAUUUAGUUGCCAUCACCAAACUGAUAUUAUGCUUGGACUCACAAAUGCAUGUAAUGCUUCCACUAGAGGUUUGUUCUUCGUUUCUUCUAUGUUAUUCCUCUUUCAAGUUUUUGGUCCUUGAAAAGUAAUAGUACUUGCUAGGUUUUCUAGGUUCAUUUUUUGUGUGGUAGAAGCUGAAUGUAUAUGGCCUGAAUUUACAUAUCAGAGUGUAUGAGUUGAUUAAGGGUAUGGGAGAGAACAAUUGUCAUCCUCAAAUAACACGCGUCGUCACUAAGUUUCUUAUAUUUACCAAUUGAAACAUGUCACUAAGUUGCUACUGAUGUCACGGUGUCCAUAAUGCAGAACACAUAAUAAGUUAAAUCAAGCCAAUGAUUUUGUUCUUUUAGCCAGAGUCAGGUUCAGAGUUGUUCACACUGAAUUUUCUGGGCACAUCCAUAAGCAAGCUAGCACGUAUUAUUUAACUGAAGCAGAGGGCGGCUAAGCUAUGAAUGCUUCAUUCUUUGUUCUGAACAAAUGCAGCUACGACUUUAUAUUUUGAAGAACCGGCACCUGAGUGUGUUCUGUUUUUAUAGCCUGCAGAGUCUGGAGAGUAAAGCUUGUACAUUUUGUAAACCAUUUUGUUCCAGUUUCCCUUGGUAUACAAGUCUAUACUGUAUCGGGUUUUGCCAUUGCCGAUCAUGUACUUCUUUCUGUGCUAGACCGGUAUAAGUAUAUUUAGCUCAUGUACACAUGGCAUUUGGAUUGAACCAAAGAAUUUCAUGUUGAUGACUACAUAUAUACCUGAACAUGGUGGCUUGAACUUGGUUAUUAUUCUUGGACAUGAUGCUGGAAUAAUUCUUGAAGUUUCAUAUAUUCUGCUCUUUCUUCAAUUAUCAAUUAGUUUAAUUGCAUCCCUGAUGGUAGUUUUAGAUAUGUAGCAAAAGAAAGGGUCAAUUACACAUUGUUGGGCCCUCACGGCCCAAUAGUAAGAAGAUCUUCUUUUAGGGGUCGCAGCGGUACGAAGAUAAGUUCGUGGGUCCUUCC
Molecule: long non-coding RNA, 2470 nt
Organism: Triticum aestivum (bread wheat)
Lineage: Eukaryota; Viridiplantae; Streptophyta; Magnoliopsida; Poales; Poaceae
Exons: 4
Source: RefSeq, a predicted model, not a curated record